Molecule: ribosomal RNA, 406 nt
Filed under: uncultured bacterium
Lineage: Bacteria
Description: partial 16S ribosomal RNA
Rfam family: Bacterial small subunit ribosomal RNA
Source: RNAcentral
AUUGAACGCUGGCGGCAGGCCUAACACAUGCAAGUCGAACGAGUGGCGGACGGGUGAGUAAUGUCUGGGAAACUGCCUGAUGGAGGGGGAUAACUACUGGAAACGGUAGCUACUACCGCAUACCCUCGGAUGUGCCCAGAUGGGAUUAGCUAGUAGGUGGGGUAAAGGCUCACCUAGGCGACGACCCCUAUCUGGUAUGAGAGGAUGACCAGCCACACUGGAACGUGGACAAGGCCCAGACGCCUACGGGAGGCAGCAGUGGGGAAUAGUGCACAAUGGGCGCAAGCCUGAUGCAGCCAUGCCGCGGGUAGGAAGAAGGCCUUCGGGUUGUAAAGUACUUUCAGCGGGGAGGCGUUACCGGCAGAAGAAGCACCGGCUAACUCCGUGCCAGCAGCCGCGGUAAUAC